RNAcentral lists this long non-coding RNA (203 nucleotides) under Elaeis guineensis (African oil palm). RNAcentral's name for it is "long non-coding RNA (EGUI_LNC031372)". The record is from RNAcentral. Lineage: Eukaryota; Viridiplantae; Streptophyta; Magnoliopsida; Arecales; Arecaceae.
GUGAGGAUCGAGUAGUAGAAAAUCAAAGAAAAACUAGGCUAAAAAAAUAGGAGAUUUGGGAUUUUCUUUAUUUUUGGCUGUCACCGUUCAUUGGUGGCCGUAGACUUGCCAUGGAGGGUUGUGGGAAGGCUAGGAUACUCAGCCUAGGGCUCAACUUCAAGGGAUGGUGACACCGAUGGUCAGAAAAAGGGAGAUAAGUACUG